AGUAAGAUGGCUGAAUUAGGCAAUAAAUUGUAAAUUUAUUUAUAGGUUUUUUACCUUCUUAUUA
RNAcentral lists this transfer RNA (64 nucleotides) under Phraortes sp. Iriomote Island. Its description in RNAcentral is "tRNA-Tyr". The record is from RNAcentral. Lineage: Eukaryota; Metazoa; Arthropoda; Insecta; Phasmatodea; Lonchodidae.